AAAAUUGCACAAUGGGGGAAACCCUGUUGCAGCGACGCCCCGUGAGCGAAGAAGGCCUNUGGGUCNUNAAGCUCUGUUCUAAGGGNCAAAACGGAAGGUACCUUAGGAGGAAGCCCCGGCUAACUACGGUCCAGCAGCCGCGGUAAUACGUAGGGGGCGAGCGUUAUCCGGAAUUAUUGGGCGUAAAGGGUGCGUAGGCGGCCUUUUAAGUCAGAUGUGAAAAGGUACGGCUUAACCGUAGUUAGCAUUUGAAACUAAAGAGCUAGAGUGCAGGAGAGGAGAGUGGAAUUCCUAGUGUAGCGGUGAAAUGCGUAGAUAUUAGGGGGAACACCAGUGGCGAAGGCGGCUCUCUGGACUGCAACUGACGCUGAGGCACGAAAGCGUGGGGAGCAAACA
Molecule: ribosomal RNA, 396 nt
Filed under: uncultured bacterium
Lineage: Bacteria
Description: partial 16S ribosomal RNA
Rfam family: Bacterial small subunit ribosomal RNA
Source: RNAcentral